UACGAAGGUCCCAAGGGUUGUUCGGAAUCACUGGGCGUAAAGGGAGCGUAGGCGGCGCGGUAAGUCGGAUGUGAAGUCCCGGGGCUCAACCCCGGAACUGCAUCUGAUACUGCCGUGCUAGAGUAAUGGAGGGGUAGCUGGAAUUAUCGGUGUAGCAGUGAAAUGCGUAGAUAUCGAUAGGAACACUCGUGGCGAAAGCGAGCUACUGGACAUUUACUGCCGCUGAGGCUCGAAGGCUAGGGGAGCGAAAUGG
This 253-nucleotide ribosomal RNA is filed under the name uncultured bacterium. Its description in RNAcentral is "partial 16S ribosomal RNA". It matches the Rfam family "Bacterial small subunit ribosomal RNA", at positions 524 to 776 of the family's 1533-position model. The record is from RNAcentral.